AAAUUGAAGAGUUUGAUCAUGGCUCAGAUUGAACGCUGGCGGCAGGCCUAACACAUGCAAGUCGAACGGUAACAGGAAGCAGCUUGCUGCUUUGCUGACGAGUGGCGGACGGGUGAGUAAUGUCUGGGAAACUGCCUGAUGGAGGGGGAUAACUACUGGAAACGGUGGCUAAUACCGCAUAACGUCGCAAGACCAAAGAGGGGGACCUUCGGGCCUCUUGCCAUCAGAUGUGCCCAGAUGGGAUUAGCUAGUUGGUGAGGUAACGGCUCACCAAGGCGACGAUCCCUAGCUGGUCUGAGAGGAUGACCAGCCACACUGGAACUGAGACACGGUCCAGACUCCUACGGGAGGCAGCAGUGGGGAAUAUUGCACAAUGGGCGCAAGCCUGAUGCAGCCAUGCCGCGUGUAUGAAGAAGGCCUUCGGGUUGUAAAGUACUUUCAGCGGGGAGGAAGGUGUUGUGGUUAAUAACCACAGCAAUUGACGUUACCCGCAGAAGAAGCACCGGCUAACUCCGUGCCAGCAGCCGCGGUAAUACGGAGGGUGCAAGCGUUAAUCGGAAUUACUGGGCGUAAAGCGCACGCAGGCGGUCUGUCAAGUCGGAUGUGAAAUCCCCGGGCUCAACCUGGGAACUGCAUUCGAAACUGGCAGGCUUGAGUCUUGUAGAGGGGGGUAGAAUUCCAGGUGUAGCGGUGAAAUGCGUAGAGAUCUGGAGGAAUACCGGUGGCGAAGGCGGCCCCCUGGACAAAGACUGACGCUCAGGUGCGAAAGCGUGGGGAGCAAACAGGAUUAGAUACCCUGGUAGUCCACGCCGUAAACGAUGUCUACUUGGAGGUUGUGCCCUUGAGGCGUGGCUUCCGGAGCUAACGCGUUAAGUAGACCGCCUGGGGAGUACGGCCGCAAGGUUAAAACUCAAAUGAAUUGACGGGGGCCCGCACAAGCGGUGGAGCAUGUGGUUUAAUUCGAUGCAACGCGAAGAACCUUACCUGGUCUUGACAUCCACAGAACUUUCCAGAGAUGGACUGGUGCCUUCGGGAACUGUGAGACAGGUGCUGCAUGGCUGUCGUCAGCUCGUGUUGUGAAAUGUUGGGUUAAGUCCCGCAACGAGCGCAACCCUUAUCCUUUGUUGCCAGCGGUUAGGCCGGGAACUCAAAGGAGACUGCCAGUGAUAAACUGGAGGAAGGUGGGGAUGACGUCAAGUCAUCAUGGCCCUUACGACCAGGGCUACACACGUGCUACAAUGGCGCAUACAAAGAGAAGCGACCUCGCGAGAGCAAGCGGACCUCAUAAAGUGCGUCGUAGUCCGGAUUGGAGUCUGCAACUCGACUCCAUGAAGUCGGAAUCGCUAGUAAUCGUGGAUCAGAAUGCCACGGUGAAUACGUUCCCGGGCCUUGUACACACCGCCCGUCACACCAUGGGAGUGGGUUGCAAAAGAAGUAGGUAGCUUAACCUUCGGGAGGGCGCUUACCACUUUGUGAUUCAUGACUGGGGUGAAGUCGUAACAAGGUAACCGUAGGGGAACCUGCGGUUGGAUCACCUCCUUA
RNAcentral lists this ribosomal RNA (1542 nucleotides) under Salmonella enterica. RNAcentral's name for it is "bacterial SSU rRNA". It matches the Rfam family "Bacterial small subunit ribosomal RNA". RNAcentral also lists the same sequence under 2 other names. The record is from RNAcentral. Lineage: Bacteria; Pseudomonadati; Pseudomonadota; Gammaproteobacteria; Enterobacterales; Enterobacteriaceae.